This 184-nucleotide ribosomal RNA is filed under the name uncultured Clostridia bacterium. RNAcentral's name for it is "partial 16S ribosomal RNA". It matches the Rfam family "Bacterial small subunit ribosomal RNA", at positions 338 to 520 of the family's 1533-position model. The record is from RNAcentral. Lineage: Bacteria; Bacillati; Bacillota; Clostridia.
CCUACGGGAGGCAGCAGUGGGGAAUCUUGCGCAAUGCUCGAAAGCCUGAUUCGCAACGCCGCGUGACUGAAGAAGGCCUUCGGCUUGUAAAGCUCUGUCGUCCGGGAGGAAGGUGCCGGGCCAUACGCUGGGCCUUGACGGUACCCACAAUAAGCCCCGGCUGACUACGUGCCAGCAGCCGCGG